RNAcentral lists this ribosomal RNA (481 nucleotides) under uncultured bacterium. Its description in RNAcentral is "partial 16S ribosomal RNA". It matches the Rfam family "Bacterial small subunit ribosomal RNA", at positions 28 to 507 of the family's 1533-position model. The record is from RNAcentral.
GAUGAACGCUGGCGGCGUGCUUAACACAUGCAAGUCGAACGAAGCACUUUAUUUGAUUUCCUUCGGGACUGAUUAUUUUGUGACUGAGUGGCGGACGGGUGAGUAACGCGUGGGUAACCUGCCUUGUACAGGGGGAUAACAGUUGGAAACGGCUGCUAAUACCGCAUAAGCGCACGGCAUCGCAUGAUGCAGUGUGAAAAACUCCGGUGGUAUAAGAUGGACCCGCGUUGGAUUAGCUAGUUGGUGAGGUAACGGCCCACCAAGGCGACGAUCCAUAGCCGACCUGAGAGGGUGACCGGCCAGAUUGGGACUGAGACACGGCCCAAACUCCUACGGGAGGCAGCAGUGGGGAAUAUUGCACAAUGGGCGAAAGCCUGAUGCAGCGACGCCGCGUGAGCGAAGAAGUAUUUCGGUAUGUAAAGCUCUAUCAGCAGGGAAGAUAAUGACGGUACCUGACUAAGAAGCACCGGCUAAAUACGUG